UCAAGGAAAUUAAAAGAAAUUAAACCAGCCUAAGCAUUAUAAGGCUUGUCAUUCCCAUCUACAGAUUGCCCUCAAAGUCUAAGGCCCAAAAGGGACCUAAACAUUGCAAAGCCAAGGCUGAGGAGCGGGGAUGCAUGAUCGAAUCUAUACCAAAGCAGAACCAAUAUUUGCACUCAGAAAUAAAAAAUAAACCUAAUGGACCUUCAGCAGUACAUAAUGGCUUAAUACACAAAGAAAAGCUUGAAUGCUGUUGACUCUCAUUACAUUCCCAAAAACAACACAGUCUCGAAUUCAAUUGUAUUGAUAACAGAAAUAUCAAGUAUUCAUGCUUUAAUUCAAUUCUAAGCUAACUCACAAAUAAACAUAUAAAAUUUAACCUCAUCUAAAUCCUUUCUCAAUACCAACAGUAACAGAAUCCAAAAAUUAACGUAUCACUCACUUGAAUCCAAAAAUCAUACUCAAACCCUCACAGAAUCAACUCGACAAGCAAACAUUGAUUCACUUUACAACAUUUUAAUAACAUGAGAAAGGCUAAACUAAACAUGCAUAAUAUAGGAUUUACAUACAGAAUACUACAGAAAUGAAAGAAUCAGAAGAAAUAAAACUCAAAACACAACUUGUAUUCAAUCAGGUUUCCACUCGAAAUACAUAUUCACAUUCACUUGUUGUCCAAUGGUUUGAAAAAUACCUGGAAUGCAAUAGGAAAAACAAAGAGAAAUGAGGAGUUAGCAGCAGUAGCAACACCAACUCAAAAACCCAGCAAUAUCAAAUGAAAAACCAGCUUCUUCCAGCCAAUAGAGAACCCGAAUGAACAACAAACUUUUGAAUCUCAAAACCCUGAUUAGCUAAGAAAUUUCAAGGCAGAAUUGAACCAGUUUUCACCAAAGAAAUGCAUGGAUUUCAGUGUUAUUUCAAAGUUUUUAAAGCUUAGCCGUUUUUAAUUUUUCAGUAUUUUUCA
RNAcentral lists this long non-coding RNA (958 nucleotides) under Nicotiana tabacum (common tobacco). Its description in RNAcentral is "long non-coding RNA (NTAB_LNC003582)". The record is from RNAcentral. Lineage: Eukaryota; Viridiplantae; Streptophyta; Magnoliopsida; Solanales; Solanaceae.